Molecule: ribosomal RNA, 370 nt
Filed under: uncultured bacterium
Lineage: Bacteria
Description: bacterial SSU rRNA
Rfam family: Bacterial small subunit ribosomal RNA
Source: RNAcentral
GUAGGUGGCAAGCGUUGUCCGGAAUUACUGGGUGUAAAGGGAGCGCAGGCGGGUGAUCAAGUCAGCUGUGAAAACUACGGGCUUAACCCGUAGACUGCAGUUGAAACUGUUCAUCUUGAGUGAAGUAGAGGUUGGCGGAAUUCCGAGUGUAGCGGUGAAAUGCGUAGAUAUUCGGAGGAACACCGGUGGCGAAGGCGGCCAACUGGGCUUUAACUGACGCUGAGGCUCGAAAGUGUGGGGAGCAAACAGGAUUAGAUACCCUGGUAGUCCACACUGCAAACGAUGAUUGCUAGGUGUGGGGGGUCUGACCCCUUCCGUGCCGGAGCUAACGCAAUAAGCAAUCCACCUGGGGAGUACGACCGCAAGGUUG